This 253-nucleotide ribosomal RNA is filed under the name uncultured bacterium. RNAcentral describes it as "partial 16S ribosomal RNA". It matches the Rfam family "Bacterial small subunit ribosomal RNA", at positions 524 to 776 of the family's 1533-position model. The record is from RNAcentral.
UACGAAGGGGGCUAGCGUUGUUCGGAAUCACUGGGCGUAAAGCGCACGUAGGCGGGCCGUUAAGUCAGAGGUGAAAUCCUGGAGCUCAACUCCAGAACUGCCUUUGAUACUGAAAGUCUUGAGUAUGGGAGAGGUGAGUGGAACUGCGAGUGUAGAGGUGAAAUUCGUAGAUAUUCGCAAGAACACCAGUGGCGAAGGCGGCUCACUGGCCCAUAACUGACGCUGAGGCACGAAAGCGUGGGGAGCGAACAGG